CAAGGAAUAUGUAUAAGAUCUCUUAUUUGUGUAUAAGUAAAAAAUCAUUAAAAUUUUCAUUUGUCCCACAACUUUUAUAGGAAGAAAGAAUACCUACAAGAUCUCCUAUUUUUAUAGAAGUCCAAAAUCAAAUACUACAAGCUAGCUGUAAACCUAAACAACAAAUCAAGGCUCAUUGGUGGAAAGCAGCAAUUCCAUCAGAGUGACUUCAUUACCUUUAUCAUUAUUUUUGUUGUAAAUGAAUAUAUUUAUGUGCAAAUCCACUACAUGUUAUGAAGAAUGCACCUCUUGUGUCUCCUUUGGUUGCUACGAGUGUCGCUUUUAGAGACUGUCAGUAAUGCACUUGCAUUUAUUAUAUGGAGAAUCCGUAGCCCUAAUCUCCCAUAAUCAUCACUUUGGCUUAAUGAUUACGUAGAUUAGAAGUUUCAUUCUUUAGAAUUUGAUGUAAACUAUACGUAAACUCCAUAUUGAUUUGGAGUUGGUUUUAAAGAACAUAAUGGCCCAAGCUUCAUCACAACUUUUAAUUGAAAUCUAGAUCCACAUGUCAUCUUCCAUCACAUAGUACACAAAUCCCUACAGUGCUAGGGCAGCAUCUGCACAGGCUCUGGGCGUGGAGAUGGUGGACGACAAGGCUCACUAACUAAUCAUCAUUUGUUUAGGUUCUGUGGUAGCCAUGCAUUGGAUGCACUUAUUAAAAGUUAUAUGAUGGGUGAUGAUUAGACUUGAAAAUUUGUGUUCAAUUUGGGUUUUAAAGAAGAGAAAGAAAACUCUUUGGAAUUAAUGUGUGAAGAACU
This 794-nucleotide long non-coding RNA is filed under the name Carica papaya (papaya). RNAcentral describes it as "long non-coding RNA (CPAP_LNC016266)". The record is from RNAcentral. Lineage: Eukaryota; Viridiplantae; Streptophyta; Magnoliopsida; Brassicales; Caricaceae.